UGGGGAAUUUUGGUCAAUGGGGGAAACCCUGAUCCAGCCAUCCCGCGUGUGCGAUGAAGGCCUUCGGGUUGUUAAGCACUUUUUGCAGGAAAGAAACGUCAUGGGUUAAUACCCCGUGAAACUGACGGUACCUGCAGAAUAAGCACCGGCUAACUACGUGCCAGCAGCCGCGGUAAUACGUAGGGUGCAAGCGUUAAUCGGAAUUACUGGGCGUAAAGCGUGCGCAGGCGGUUCGGAAAGAAAGAUGUGAAAUCCCAGAGCUCAACUUUGGAACUGCAUUUUUAGCUACCGGGCUAGAGUGUGUCAGAGGGAGGUGGAAUUCCGCGUGUAGCAGUGAAAUGCGUAGAUAUGCGGAGGAACACCGAUGGCGAAGGCAGCCUCCUGGGAUAACACUGACGCUCAUGCACGAAAGCGUGGGGAGCAAACAGG
This 429-nucleotide ribosomal RNA is filed under the name Acidobacteriota bacterium. RNAcentral's name for it is "Acidobacteria bacterium partial 16S ribosomal RNA". It matches the Rfam family "Bacterial small subunit ribosomal RNA", at positions 355 to 776 of the family's 1533-position model. Lineage: Bacteria; Pseudomonadati; Acidobacteriota. The record is from RNAcentral.